This 481-nucleotide ribosomal RNA is filed under the name uncultured bacterium. Its description in RNAcentral is "partial 16S ribosomal RNA". It matches the Rfam family "Bacterial small subunit ribosomal RNA", at positions 28 to 507 of the family's 1533-position model. The record is from RNAcentral.
GAUGAACGCUGGCGGCGUGCUUAACACAUGCAAGUCGAACGAAGCACUUUAUUUGAUUUCCUUCGGGACUGAUUAUUUUGUGACUGAGUGGCGGACGGGUGAGUAACGCGUGGGUAACCUGCCUUGUACAGGGGGAUAACAGUUGGAAACGGCUGCUAAUACCGCAUAAGCGCACAGCAUCGCAUGAUGCAGUGUGAAAAACUCCGGUGGUAUAAGAUGGACCCGCGUUGGAUUAGCUAGUUGGUGAGGUAACGGCCCACCAAGGCGACGAUCCAUAGCCGACCUGAGAGUGUGACCGGCCACAUUGGGACUGAUACACGGCCCAAACUCCUACGGGAGGCAGCAGUGGGGAAUAUUGCACAAUGGGCGAAAGCCUGAUGCAGCGACGCCGCGUGAGCGAAGAAGUAUUUCGGUAUGUAAAGCUCUAUCAGCAGGGAAGAUAAUGACGGUACCUGACGAAGAAGCACCGGCUAAAUACGUG